Molecule: long non-coding RNA, 664 nt
Organism: Papaver somniferum (opium poppy)
Lineage: Eukaryota; Viridiplantae; Streptophyta; Magnoliopsida; Ranunculales; Papaveraceae
Exons: 4
Source: RefSeq, a predicted model, not a curated record
AACACCACAUUCCUAACCACUGUGUGAAUUCAAUUUCAAUUUCAGAUCUUUCUCAUGCUGAUGAAUAUACGAUUCAUAUCACAAUGAGGGUAUCCUUCAACUUAGAUAAUGAAAGUAAAUCUUAACUUAGAUUACUGAAAUUGGGUUUUGCUAAUUUUUGAAAUAAUUUUGGUGAGAAUAUUUCUAAUGUAAUGUAGGGUAAACACAAUAACAUUGUAUUGGCUUCAGUACCUAGGUGAAAUUACAAAUUCACAAUAUCAUCUGCCGAAUUCAAGCCAAUGAUUGAAUCUGAUGAUUUUGGUUGUCCAACCUCCGGAGUUUAAACUGUAAACUUGAUUUCAACGGGAAGAAGGAUAAGGAGAAGAGAAAGUUAAAUAAACUUUGUUAUCUUCGCACAAUCAGGUGUAUCUCGCAUGCAUUUUCCUAGAAAUUCGUGAACCGCCUUAUUGUUUAAGUGUUUGUUGAAGCCUACUGCAUUUACAAAAGACAGAAGUGGGAUGGCGAAAUUCAGUUUAAAAUUCCUUCUGUUUGUCCUGUUGUGGAACAUCUCAAUAGGGAUUAUAUGUAAUUACUUUUCUUCUUGAAUUUUUGCUAUAAAAUUGUAAGCUUGACAAUAGCUAUGUACCUAUCAUACAGUUUAUUAAUUUAGCAGGUUAAUGUUCAA